RNAcentral lists this signal recognition particle RNA (297 nucleotides) under Cebus imitator (Panamanian white-faced capuchin). RNAcentral's name for it is "Metazoan signal recognition particle RNA (ENSCCAG00000002704.1)". It matches the Rfam family "Metazoan signal recognition particle RNA". Rfam says of the family: The signal recognition particle (SRP) is a universally conserved ribonucleoprotein. It is involved in the co-translational targeting of proteins to membranes. The record is from RNAcentral. Lineage: Eukaryota; Metazoa; Chordata; Mammalia; Primates; Cebidae.
GCCGGGUGCAGUGGCGCGUGCCUGUAGUCCCAGCUAUUCAGGAGGCUGAGGUUGGAGGAUCUCUUGAGUCCAGGAGUUCUGGGCUGUAAUGCGCUAUGCCGAUCCAGUGUCCGCACUAAGUUCAGCAUCAAUAUGGUGACCUCCUGGGAGCGGGGGACGACCAGGUUGCCUAAGGAGGGGUGAACUGGCCCAGGUCGGAAACAGAGCAGGUCAAAACUCCCGUGCUGAUCAGUAGUGGGAUUGCAGCUGUGAAUAGCCACUGCACUCCAGCCUGGGCAACAUAGCAACACUGUCUCU